Molecule: long non-coding RNA, 411 nt
Filed under: Pan troglodytes (chimpanzee)
Lineage: Eukaryota; Metazoa; Chordata; Mammalia; Primates; Hominidae
Description: long non-coding RNA NONPTRT009328
Source: RNAcentral
GCAGGUGGAGUGUGAGCUCUGGACGGGGCAGGUGGAGUGUGAGCUCUGGGCAGGUGGAGUGUGAGCUCUGGACGGGGCGGGUGGAGGGAGUGUGAGCUCUGGAUGGGCAGGUGGAUGGAGUGUGAGCUCUGGGCAGGUGGAGUGUGAGCUCUGGACGGGGCAGGUGGAGGGAGUGUGAGCUCUGGACGGGGCGGGUGGAGGGAGUGUGAGCUCUGGACGGGGCGGGUGGAGGGAGUGUGAGCUCUGGACGGGGCGGGUGGAGGGAGUGUGAGCUCUGGACGGGGCGGGUGGAGGGAGUGUGAGCUCUGGAUGGGCAGGUGGAGGGAGUGUGAGCUCUGGAUGGGCAGGUGGAGAGAGUGUGAGCUCUGGAUGGGCAGGUGGAGGGAGUGUGAGCCCUGGACGGGGCAGGUG